AUCUGCAGAUUGUUUCUUUCAUCUGAACUUAAAACUGGGCUAUUUGUCAGAAGCUAAGCAGUAUUAGGCCUGGUUAGUACUUAGAAGGGAGACCACCUAGGAAGACCAGGUGCUGUAGGCG
Ribosomal RNA from Pteropus vampyrus (large flying fox), 121 nucleotides. NCBI's taxonomy places the organism in Eukaryota, Metazoa, Chordata, Mammalia, Chiroptera, Pteropodidae. The record is from Ensembl.